Non-coding RNA from Lactuca sativa (garden lettuce), 2011 nucleotides. Lineage: Eukaryota; Viridiplantae; Streptophyta; Magnoliopsida; Asterales; Asteraceae. The record is from RefSeq and is a predicted model, not a curated record.
AUUUAAGGGAUCUGGUUAUUUGCUCCCCAAAUAAACAUAUCAGAUCCUAAUUAGUCUUUCUAUCGCUCGUUUCCUUCUCCCGAUUCUUCACCGACUCCAUCGAACUCCUCCCUAACUCCAUCAAGCACUUCCCUCCGCCCUCCGCCCUCCACCUCCAACACCCACCCCAUCCACCAAUCAUCUCCUCCCUCCCUCAAUCGACCACCUCUACCUCCGUCAACGAUCAACAUCGGCUACCAAUCAACAAUCCUUAAUCCAGAAGCAAGCAGAUGAUCACAAGUCACUCUCGUUUAUGUUGCCUAUGCUUCGAAUCUCACGAUUGAGAACUCUAAGCUCCUUAGGGUUUUGACUGAUCUUUUGCGCAGCUAUACAGAUCUCAUCUUGAAACCGGCUUACAAAACUUUGUUCGACUCGGAUGCGGAAUCAAAAGACGAAGUGUGGCUCCGGCAAAGUAGGGCGAUAUCACCUUCGCAUCCGUCAGAUAUCGUCGUUGCCGCCCUCAGCUCCGUCAAAUCGAUGUCAUGACUGAUCCGUCUUCUCCAUCUCUUGUGCCUAUAAGUGAGUCUCUAUCUCUCUUAUAUGUAGAAUCAAUUGCGUAUUUACAAUCGAUUGAGCAGUCAUCUUUCAUGAACCGAUUUCCAGUGAGAAUUGAUUGUUUCCUGAAAAUCGAUGGUUCAUUACAAUUGAUUGAUUGCUAAGUAAACAUAGGUUGGUGAAAAUCAAGUUUCUGUUGAAAAUCGAUGCUUUCUAAGUUGCUAUGUAGAACAGAAAAUUGAUUGCUUGCUCUGUACCACGUUACAAUUGCUUUCUGAAGUUUGUUUCCCAUACUUGCUACGUGCUAUUGAAAUUCCAUUAUUUGCUGAAAAUUAGACUUCUUCCUGUACACCACUUUAUAAUUGUUUACACUCUCAAUCUUAAUGUGAAAUGAAUUUAUAGUAAUAGGAAAAUGUCCCAAACUUAGUUUAACAACACACAAUCAUAGUUUGAGGCAAACUUCAUUGAUUUUGACAUGGUGGAACUUGGUUUUGUCAAAUUUCAAUAUUAUAUAACAAGUUAACAACUUAUUUGAUUAUUUGAUUUGAUACUAAUCCUAGAAAUCUGUUACAAAUGACAUUUUAGCAUCUGAACAUUUAUCAACAGAGGCAAUAUGCAGGUAUAUAGUAUUAUUUAAUUUGUUUUUGAUUAUUUGUUUGAAAAAUAUUUUUUCAAAAUAACAUUGUUUUAUGGUAGGCUCCAGAAAUAGAAAUCACCCCAGCUCCAAAUACAAUACUAUAUCCAGAACCAAUAAACAGCCUGGAAUGUGCAGGCGUGUCAAGUUUCUGCCAAAAAAGAGGCAUCUGUAGACGUUUUGACCGACCAAUUGACUGUUGGAAGAAAUAUCAACACUUAGAUCAACUAACAUUUUAGUUUUUGGACGGAUAGGAAUGAAGCACGUAUGUAUUGAUCUAACAAUAGUUUCAUAUAUGGUGUUGGGGAAUGAAGUUUUUACUACAGGACAUACUGCUUUAAAAGUUGUCUCAUGCAAAGUGGUAAAAUAUCAGAAAAUGUACAUAGAAAAUCAACUCACAUUUAUACAUUUCACAUUUGUUUCCUUACGUCAGAUGUUAUGGAUCGAGCUCCUCAAUAGAGUCCAAUGCAUAAUGCAUAAUAAUGUUAUGAACCCAAAAUUUAUGAAUAUGGUUUUAAAAGAAUUACUGUCGACAUCCAAAAAUGAUUAGCGACACAAAUUACUGUCUUUUUACCCAUUAGGUUUAUGUAAAACUUUUAUGUUUUAUUGAAAAGUUAUGUUUAUCUGUUUUUAAAUUUAAUUUGUUCGGUGAUUUAAACAAUUAAAAGAAAAGAUGCGUCUAUUUACUUUUGUAUGACUAUUUGAAAGCGUUUCAACAAGCGUCAUUGGGAAAUGUGUAUUCGAUAAAUAAAUAAUGAAUUAGGCUAAUUAAGUUUCAUAAAUUAGUUAUUUGAUUAUCUAUGUGAUAAAUUUUUUAGUUAUUUUAGUUUAUUAUUUAAUUUU